GAUGAAGAACGUAGCGAAAUGCGAUAAGUAGUGUGAAUUGCAGAAUUUAGUGAAUCAUCGAAUCUUUGAACGCACAUUGCGCCCUUUGGUAUUCCUUAGGGCAUGCCUGUUCGAGCGUCAUUUAACCCCUUCAAGCUCUGCUUGGUGUUGGGCGUUUGUCCCGCCUCGUGCGCGGACUCGCCUUAAAAUCAUUGGCGGCCUUUGGAUUCGGCUCGAGCGCAGCACAUCGCGUCUCGGCCCGGCCCGCUGGCGUCCAGCAAGCGCAACUUUAUUUUGACCUCGGAUCAGGUAGGGAUACCCGCUGAACUUAAGCAUAUCAAUAAGCGGAGGA
RNAcentral lists this unclassified non-coding RNA (331 nucleotides) under soil metagenome. RNAcentral's name for it is "partial contains 5.8S ribosomal RNA, internal transcribed spacer 2, and large subunit ribosomal RNA". The stretch from base 1 to 120 matches the Rfam family "5.8S ribosomal RNA", at positions 35 to 154 of the family's 154-position model. The record is from RNAcentral.